AGCCCUCUGGACCGCGCUUUGUUCUGACUCUGAGCUCCCCAACCCCCGACCCGAUCCAUCCCUUGGCUUCCCGCUCACUCCUUCCGCCCACUCCCCGCAUCUGGACUCACAUCCUCUUCCCCAGCCGCUGCGCCCCGGAUCCUGCCCUCCCCCUCCCCCGAACUUCCCGUAGGCGCCCUUGCCUGGUACCCUUCUCUCCAUUCCUCCCCCUUGCAUCCUCUUCCCCCUCCCUCUCUCGGGUCCCCUCCUUCCCAAGGCCGGGGAUGUCCCCCGCGGCCCCGCGCCCAUGGUCCUGACGCUGCUCCUCUCCGCCUACAAGCUGUGCCGUUUCUUCGCCAUGUCAGGCCCGCGGCCGGGAGCCGAGCGGCUGGCGGUGCCAGGGCCGGAGGGGGGCGGCGGCGCGGGCCUGUGGUGGACGGCGGGCGGCCGCGGGCCCCGCGAGGUGUCGCCCGGAGUGGGCACCGAAGUACAGGGCGCCCUGGAGCGCGCGCUGCCAGAGCUGCAGCAGGCGCUGUCUGCGCUGAAGCAGGCGGGUGGCGCGCGGGCUGUGGGCGCCGGCCUGGCCGAGGUCUUCCAGCUAGUGGAGGAGGCCUGGCUGCUGCCGGCCGUGGGCCGCGAGGUGGCCCAGGGUCUGUGCGAUGCUAUCCGCCUGGACGGCGGCCUCGACCUGCUGCUGCGGCUGCUGCAAGUGCCAGAGCUGGAGACGCGCGUGCAGGCCGCGCGCCUGCUGGAGCAGAUCCUGGUGGCUGAGAACCGGGAUCGCGUGGCUCGCAUCGGGAUGGGCGUGAUCUUGAACCUGGCGAAGGAGCGCGAGCCCGUGGAGCUGGCCAGGAGUGUGGCGGGCAUCCUGGAGCACAUGUUCAAGCACUCGGAGGAGACGUGCCAGCAGCUGGUGGCGGCUGGCGGCCUGGACGCCGUGCUCUUCUGGUGCCGCCGCACCGACACGGCGCUGCUGCGCCACUGCGCGCUGGCGCUGGCCAACUGCGCGCUGCACGGGGGCCAGGCGGUGCAGCGGCGCAUGGUGGAGAAGCGCGCGGCCGAGUGGCUCUUCCCGCUCGCCUUCUCCAAGGAGGACGAGCUGCUGCGGCUGCACGCCUGCCUGGCCGUGGCGGUGCUGGCAACCAACAAGGAGGUGGAGCGCGAAGUGGAGCGCUCGGGCACGCUGGCGCUGGUGGAGCCGCUUGUGGCCUCGCUGGACCCCGGCCGCUUCGCCCGCUGCCUGGUGGACGCCAGCGACACAAGUCAGGGCCGCGGGCCCGACGACUUGCAGCGCCUCGUGCCUCUGCUCGACUCCUCGCGCUUGGAGGCGCAGUGCCUCGGGGCUUUCUACCUCUGUGCGGAGGCUGCCAUCAAGAGCCUGCAGGGCAAGACCAAGGUGUUCAGCGACAUCGGCGCCAUCCAGAGCCUGAAGCGCCUCGUUUCCUACUCCACCAACGGCACCACGUCAGCUCUGGCCAAGCGUGCACUACGCCUGCUGGGUGAGGAGGUGCCGCGGCCCAUCCUGCCCUGCGUGGCCAGCUGGAAGGAGGCCGAGGUCCAGACGUGGCUGCAGCAAAUUGGCUUCUCCCAGUACUGCCAGAGCUUCCGGGAGCAGCAGGUGGACGGUGAUCUGCUGCUGCGGCUCACCGAGGAAGAACUCCAGAAUGACCUGGGCAUGAAAUCGGGCAUCACUCGCAAGAGGUUCUUCCGGGAGCUCACGGAGCUCAAGACCUUCGCCAACUACGCCACAUGUGACCGCAGCAACCUGGCCGACUGGCUGGGCAGCCUGGACCCGCGCUUCCGCCAGUACACCUACGGCCUGGUCAGCUGUGGCCUGGACCGCUCGCUGCUGCACCGCGUGUCCGAGCAGCAGCUGCUGGAGGACUGCGGCAUCCACCUGGGCGUGCACCGCACACGCAUUCUCACUGCCGCCAGAGAAAUGCUGCACUCCCCGCUGCCCUGUACCGGCUGCAAGCCCAGCGGGGACACGCCCGAUGUCUUCAUCAGCUACCGCAGGAGCUCAGGUUCCCAGCUGGCCAGCCUCCUGAAGGUGCACCUGCAGUUGCACGGCUUCAGCGUCUUCAUCGACGUGGAGAAGCUGGAAGCAGGCAAGUUCGAGGACAAACUCAUCCAGAGCGUCAUGGGAGCCCGCAACUUCGUGCUGGUGCUGUCAGCCGGGGCCCUGGACAAGUGCAUGCAGGACCAUGACUGCAAGGACUGGGUGCACAAGGAGAUUGUGACUGCUCUGAGCUGCGGGAAGAACAUCGUACCGGUCAUCGAUGGCUUCGAGUGGCCUGAGCCCCAGGCCCUGCCGGAGGACAUGCAGGCUGUGCUCACCUUCAACGGCAUCAAGUGGUCCCACGAGUACCAGGAGGCCACCAUCGAGAAGAUCAUCCGCUUCCUGCAGGGCCGCUCCUCCAGAGACUCAUCCGCAGGCUCCGACACCAGUCUCGACGGUGCUGCACCGAUGGGCCCGGCCUAACCCGGCCCCAGGUCCCCAGCCCCACCGUGACUGGCACUGCCAUUGUCCCCACCACAAACAGGCCACCUGGGCUCAGACAGCCUGAGCUCUGCUCAGAAAAUGGCUCUCCCUGUCCCUGUCCACAUGGCCCAGCUCAACCCCACCUGCCUCAAUGUUGGGGGGAGGGAGCCAGGCACUGGGGUGGGGCCUCCCACCUCCCCCAGGCCUGGCCAUGAGGUCCUCUGUCUUGGCAUGGGGAUGGUCCCAGCCCAGUUCUGGAGACACAGGAGGUGGGGUAGGGGCUACCGCAGUCUCCCUCCUCCUGCCCUGACAGCAGGCAGCUUGAGUAGAGGGAAGGGCUUAUAGGGACCCCAGAGUCCCCCUGUUAGACUGGGUCCAGGUUCUUGCUUCCUAUGUGUGUGACACAGGAAAGCAGGACUUACUGAAAGGCAAAGGGACACAGACAUGAGGGCAGCCAACCCCAGGAGGGAGAACUGCCCCCCCUCGGGCCGGGAUCGUCCUUUUUAUAGGUGGGGUGGUGCUGGAGCACGGCCUGAUUGAGUGCUCCAAGCAGGCAGGGCUGGGGCAGGGCUGCAGCACACGUGGCGCCUGCUGCAUGAUGGAGCUGAGGCUCGGCCGCAUGAGGAGUGGGUAGGCUGAGCCUUCAGCCAUGUUGAGUCAGUACCGAGAGACUGGGCUGGGAAUGUAGGCAGUCCUUGGCUCCUGCGGCUCACUAGCUACCUGCCUAUCCGUGUCAAAGGCACACAUCUCGCAAGGUCCUGGGCAAGGAGACCGAGAUGGGAGGCCAGCAGUGGUUCUCCACCCAGACUGUGCCUGGCCCCUGGGCUCACUGCUUCCUGCCAGCCUGUGGCCUUACAUCCUAACCACUCGGGGCCCCUACUCAGCCUGGCGAGGUCCCAGACCUCCUCCCAGUCUUCCACUGGGUCAGCUUCCUCUGCCACAUGACUCAAGGUUGGUCCUCACUCUGGCUGAUCUGUAGCUGCACCUGGCUUCGCUGCACUCGCUGGUGCCCAGGAGCCUCCUGCUUGGGCCUGUCUGGGCAGGAGGAAGCCAUAUCUCAAAGCCCACCUAUCCCAUGUUUUGGUGCUGUGCCUCUGGUUCCUGCCUGGCUUGGCCCAGCUGGCUUCCCCAGACCCUCAUCCACCUAGGGCUGCCCACCACUUGCUCAGUGGGAAGGGGACCAGGCAGUCCCAGAUGGCAAUCCUUGUAGCCUGGCAGAACCUAGGGUUGUCACCUAGGGCCAUUUCUCCACCGUGAACGUGCAUUCAAACAGCCUGGGAAUCAUUAAAAUUCACUCAGGAGACUCAGAUGGGGCCUGAGGGUCUGCAUUUCUCACAAAUUCCCAGGUGGCAGCAAGCCUCUAAAACAUGAACAGCCCCCACACCUGGCCAUUUCCCAAACACCCCACUCGCUCGUCUCUAUAUUCUUCCCACCAACCCCAUCUGCUAUUAGACCCCCACUUCAUGGGUAAGGAAAUCGGGGCUCAGAAAGGUUGAGUGUUCUGUCGUUAGUAGGCAGCCCCAGGUUCCAGAACCAAGUCUCCUGGCACCCAGGCCACUGGCAGAGGAUCUGCCCUCCUGAGAAUCAUCCCAGAGGCUGCGUCCCAUGCAGAGCUGCUGCUUCCCCCCGCCCAGAAAGUCGAGUGAUGGGGGCUGGUUUUAGACACACAGGGCUGGCCCAGGGGCCUCGGGAAGUGACCGAGCAGCAGUGGCCCCAGGUCUCCCCUCCACUGAGACAGAAGGACGAGAGAGCAGCCCCUGCAGUCACCCCGGGCUCCUGCCAGUGCUGGUGCACCGUGCAGCUGGCCGGAGCCUGCCCCGCCUCUUCCCUCCUGGGCCCGUGGGUUCACCUGAAGGCCAGUUCAGCGGCCCAGGUCAUGCCUGGCUCUCGGGCCACAGCAUCAAAGUCAAAGGUCUCACUCCAGGCUCGAGGCGCCUUCCUUCCACUCCCUGCCCGUCAGGUACAGCUGAGCCGGUCCCAGCCCUGACUCUGGCUGGGACUGCACUUGACCUCCUUCCUUGCGCAGCACGAGUGUCCUCGUGCCAGCCUGGGGCUCAGCCCUGGACGUUGCCCUCACUGGGCAGUCAAUAAUACAGCGAGUGAGCCAGGGGCAGCUGUCUUUUUGUCCCAGUCUCUUCCUCCUGAGGCCUUCUCCGGCAGGAUUCAGGUUUCCUGGUUUCUCUGUAGGGUACACCCUCCACUGCUGUGCUGCCUCUGUCUCUGGCAAUCAGCACUCAGCCCCCACACAGAGCAGCCCAAGUACUGGGCCUGCCGCAGCCAGGCCAAUACCGUUCAGGAUGACUGCCCCGCCACCCCCGCCCCUGCUGUGACAAACACUGCUCAGGUCACAGGCAGGGCAUGCACCCGGCCCCCCACAGCUGACCCUGAGGCUCAGGGCUCCGCAGCAGCCUGUCCCCCAAAGCCCGCUGACACAGGUCUACAAGGCCAGGAUUUUCUGCUUGGCUGGGCUAUAGCUGCUGGCCCUGGGCUGGGGCUGAGUCAGCGAGGUCCCUUCCCCACCUCUCCGCAGGGGCCAAGAACUGCCCAGGGACACUCAAAGUCCAAAAGUCCAGCCACAGUUCGUUCAUUCUCCCCCCAGGACAUGUCUCGGAGCAUCACUAAUCGGGUUUCUUACCUUGUGCAGGUGUGGUCCCCACGGUCCCGCUGAUCUGGCCCUUCCUACAGAGGCCUGCCCAAGGUCCCCCGGCCAGAGCACGAGGCCAGCUCACACCGCUCCCCUCUUCACAGAAUCCCUGUGGUUGCUUAGGUCUCCCACUUAGGGUUGGGAGGGGGCAGGAGGCUGGAAAUGGGCCUGGGCUACAGAGACCCGGCUGGCCCCGGCUGGCCCUGGGCUGCAUGAUUUCCAGGUGGGAAGCUGGCUGGUGGGGCAGGUGAGAGAGAGAGGGUAGAAGCGGCCGCGGGCUCAUGUUCAAUUAAGUACUGCCUUUCAGCUUCAGGUGGAGACCUUCCGAACUGCCUAGAAAUGCGUGCUCCAUCCUCCAGGAAGCUGGGCCCCUGCAUCCUGUGGGAAAUCGGGCCCAGCUCCCGGGUUCUGCUGAACGGAGCCACGAGGGAUGGUCUCAGCACAGCUCUGCUGAAAUGCCAGGAGUGGGAGGCGCUGCAGGUCCCGCUGUAAAAUGGGAACAGAGAGGGGUGACGCAGACAGGAGGAGGGAACACAGCCUUGCGGUCAGCCUGAUCCGUCCUGCCCUCUGCCUCGGCCUUGGGGCCCAGCCCCCAACGCAUUACGCAGCUAUGUUCGAGGGGCGCAUCAGCCUGGGAUGAGAUACCACCAGGGCACGGGUUCUGGGAGUGAAGCUGCCUCUUCAGGGGUGCAGGGGGGCCUCUGAGGAUAAGGGGCUCCCCAGUGAGCCUGGGGUCAGGGCCCUGUCGUACCCAAUC
Molecule: RNA transcript, 5862 nt
Organism: Lepus europaeus (European hare)
Lineage: Eukaryota; Metazoa; Chordata; Mammalia; Lagomorpha; Leporidae
Gene: SARM1
Gene name: sterile alpha and TIR motif containing 1
Exons: 10
Source: RefSeq, a predicted model, not a curated record